This 76-nucleotide transfer RNA is filed under the name Bacillus cereus. RNAcentral's name for it is "tRNA-Trp". It matches the Rfam family "tRNA". Rfam says of the family: Transfer RNA (tRNA) molecules are approximately 80 nucleotides in length. Their secondary structure includes four short double-helical elements and three loops (D, anti-codon, and T loops). Lineage: Bacteria; Bacillati; Bacillota; Bacilli; Caryophanales; Bacillaceae. RNAcentral also lists the same sequence under 1 other name. The record is from RNAcentral.
GUGGGUAUCGUUUAAUUAGGUAGGACACUGGUCUCCAAAACCAGGAAUAUAGGUUCGAUUCCUAUUACCCUCGCCA